RNAcentral lists this ribosomal RNA (72 nucleotides) under Pseudomonas aeruginosa. The record is from RNAcentral. Lineage: Bacteria; Pseudomonadati; Pseudomonadota; Gammaproteobacteria; Pseudomonadales; Pseudomonadaceae. RNAcentral also lists the same sequence under 12 other names.
CCUGGCGGCACUAGCGCGGUGGUCCCACCUGACCCCAUGCCGAACUCAGAAGUGAAACGCCGUAGCGCCGAU